Haliotis rufescens (red abalone) is the source of this 1059-nucleotide long non-coding RNA. RefSeq lists it as uncharacterized. Lineage: Eukaryota; Metazoa; Mollusca; Gastropoda; Lepetellida; Haliotidae. The transcript has 3 exons. The record is from RefSeq and is a predicted model, not a curated record.
CGUUGCAUAUGUAUCAUUGAAAUAUAACUCGAAUGCAAAGGUUCCCUGAAGAGAAAACAUUAUUUUUCGGGGGGCUGCUCCCAUCUGAUCAUUGCCAAAGCUAUGGACUCUGCCAGACGUUUCACCUCUGGGUGCGAUCUUCUAUCACCAACGCUCGACACACUGAAUGCUUCCAGCAACCUUUCAGCACUGACAAGGCUUUCUGCAAAUCAAGAUGUUGUGAAAGAUGGUUAUUCCUGGCGUCAUCCUUCAAGUUUGUGUCCCUGGGCAUGUCGGUAGAGUGUGGCACUGUUGGUGAUCCCUGGGAUACCUGGUUGACUGGUGUGGGGUCCGGACGUCUUUGGAAUGACUCGAAUUUGUCCAUGAAUCCUAUAUCAAUCCUCCUGAAUAAAGAUUCAUCAUUAGAACUGAUAUAUUGUAUACAUGUCGUUUCCGGGCAUAGUAACACCGUUUAUGGUUGUCAUGUUUGGUUUUAGUAUUUUACAAAGUGUAUCACAUAUACAAGAAGACCUGUAUCAUCCCUACUACCACGCCAUGAUAUGAUUGACAAAGCGACGUUAAAGUUACCUCACUCAUUCAAACAUGGAAGUAUUGUAUGUGUUCACACUUGCCCUGUUUCAGCUGGACUGUUAGAUGUCGCCAUGACUUGCAUGUUGUCCGCUUGCUGUGAUUUCGGAUCCAGUUCAUUGGGUUUAGUUUCCCCAGUUGAAUAGGUGCUGAUAUAGAAUCAAUACAAAUCUGAAGCAUCUUAACCAGACACGUUUUGCUAUUAUAUUUGGAACGUUUAAUACAUCUAAUGCACACCAUCUGACACAUGGUGGUCAUUUUACGAACAUUUUAUGAAAAGGGUAAAUAUUGUUUAUGGGUGUCUGAUAUCAGAAAUAUUCUUUGUAUGUCUGGUUUUUCUCUUGCAUGGAUAUCUCAAGAUGUUGGAAAUGAUAAACUAUUUAUCUUCAUGCUUAAGGAAAGAUUAGUUGAUAUAUUUUCACAAGAUUGGCACUGUCAAAUAUCAUCCUCAAGGUUUUUAUGCCAUUAUACGAAUAUAAAAUCUUUACUUGU